RNAcentral lists this ribosomal RNA (253 nucleotides) under uncultured bacterium. RNAcentral describes it as "partial 16S ribosomal RNA". It matches the Rfam family "Bacterial small subunit ribosomal RNA", at positions 524 to 776 of the family's 1533-position model. The record is from RNAcentral.
UACGUAGGGGGCUAGCGUUGUCCGGAAUCAUUGGGCGUAAAGCGCGCGUAGGCGGCCAGAUAAGUCCGGUGUGAAAGUCACAGGCUCAACCUGUGAAUGCCGCUGGAAACUGUCUGGCUAGAGUCCGGAAGGGGCGAGUGGAAUUCCUGGUGUAGCGGUGAAAUGCGCAGAUAUCAGGAGGAACACCAGCGGCGAAGGCGCUGCUCUGGGCCGUAACUGACACUGAGGCGCGAAAGCCAGGGGAGCAAACGGG